UGAAUACGAGAUGCUACGGCAUCGAAGCAGUCUAUGUCAUACUUCCAAGAAAAGCUUGCACUGUCAUAAACAAAUAAUGCCUGUACCAUAACCGACACAGGUGGGUAGGUAGAGUAUACUAAGGGGCGCGAGAUAACUCUCUCUAAGGAACUCGGCAAAAUGACUCCGUAACUUCGGGAGAAGGAGUGCCUUAUUUUAUAAGGUUGCAAUAACAAGAUCCAAGCAACUGUUUACCAAAAACACAGGUCUCCGCUAAGUCGUAAGACGAUGUAUGGGGGCUGACGCCUGCCCAGUGCCAGAAGGUUAAAGAAGUUGGUUAGCAUUAGCGAAGCUGAUAACUGAAGCCCUGGUGAACGGCGGCCGUAACUAUAACGGUCCUAAGGUAGCGAAAUUCCUUGUCGGGUAAGUUCCGACCCGCACGAAAGGCGUAAUGAUUUGGAUACUGUCUCGGAGAGGGGCUCGGUGAAAUAGACUUGUCUGUGAAGAUGCGGACUACCUGCACCAGGACAGAAAGACCCUAUGAAGCUUUACUGUAACUUGAGAUUGAAAUUGGACUUUAUUUGCGCAGUAUAGGUGGGAGACGUUGAAAAUAUUCUUGCGGGAAUAUUGGAGUCAUCAGUGAGAUACCACUCUUAUAAUGUUAGAUUUCUAACUUUGUAUCAUUAUCUGGUCAAAGAACAGUCUCAGGCGGGCAGUUUGACUGGGGCGGUCGCCUCCCAAACGGUAACGGAGGCGCACAAAGGUUUCCUCUGAACGUGUAGAAAUCGUAUCUAGAGUGUAAAGGCAUAAGGAAGCUUGACUGUGAGACCUACAAGUCGAGCAGGGACGAAAGUCGGUCUUAGUGAUCUGACGGUGCUGAGUGGAAAGGCCGUCACUCAACGGAUAAAAGUUACUCUAGGAUAACAGGCUGAUCUCCCCCAAGAGUUCACAUCGACGGGGAGGUUUGGCACCUCGAUGUCGGCUCAUCGCAUCCUGGGGCGGUAGUACGUCCCAAGGGUUGGGCUGUUCGCCCAUGAAAGCGGUACGCGAGCUGGGUUCAGAACGACGUGAGACAGUUCGGUCCAUAUCCGGUGUAGGCGUUAGAAUAUUGAGAGGAGCCUUCUUUAGUACGAGAGGACCGAGAAGGACAUACCUCUGGUGUACCAGUUAUCGUGCCAACGGUAAACGCUGGGUAGCUAUGUAUGGAGAGGAUAACCGCUGAAAGCAUCUAAGUGGGAAGCCCACCUCAAGAUAAG
Molecule: ribosomal RNA, 1235 nt
Filed under: metagenome
Description: bacterial LSU rRNA
Rfam family: Bacterial large subunit ribosomal RNA
Source: RNAcentral